AGUCCAUCAACAUGCAGCAAAAAGUGUUUUUAGAUUUCAACGAGCAAAACAAAAGUAUUCUAAAUCAUUCUUCGUAAAAAAAAAGUGAGCGAGUGGAACCACCUUGCUCGCACCAAAAUUGAGAUUGAGACUGAGAGUGUCAAAACUGCUCUGGUGCACCAUCAAUAAAUCAACGACACUCUCUCUACCGUGGUAUUGAAACCAGCAUUGGUAACCAAACAUAUUUAUACAGAUACAGACUACCAUUCAUCUACAUUUAGGAAGUCUGAAUAAUACUGAAAACUAGGGUGUAGAAUUUCCAACAGGACUCCUUAUUUUAUAUAAGACGAGGAGUGGUUUAUUUUCCCAUGGUUGUUACAUCAUCUUGUCUUUGAAUAUGCUCGAAGUACAGGGACUUUUAUGGAAUUCAUUGACAUGAUAGUCAAGCAAGAUGUCAACAUCUCGUCCAACCCUCUUCCAGCAAAGCCAAAGCUGACCAAGGAUCUUCACCCUUUCAAAACAGGCUGUAUACAGGACGAGUUAUUCCAGUAGGAACAGGGCUAUAUAUAUGCAAGCAAUGCUCAAUUAAGAUGAAUUUUUGUAAAAGUGACAAUAGCCAGGUCAAACUAAAUACAUGUAUAGAAGAAGAUAUUGAUUUAGACUCGCAGCUAACCUUUCUGUCAGUGUCAACAACAACUGAACUUUCACAGCAGUCAACAUCAGAUUGGGAGACUGAUAAUGCUUCUAACAGAAACAAUUUCAACCAACCAAACAAGCAACAGAAACUUUCCAACUUUAAAACAUCAGUUAAAUCUUCCAUCGGAUGAUGUCUCAAAAAAUAACAGUUCAUCAUUUAUGGAGAUUUUAAUGUUAUGGUUUUUCUUUUACAAGAAAGUUAAUGUACACUUGUUUUAUAGUAAAACCUAUAGCCGUUCAAGUAUAAAAAAACACAUUCAACUUUAUUGAAAUUUGAAGAUUCAUAUGACUUAUUUUAAUUCUGUUAUCUCCGAGGAUGUGAUGUAGAGCAUUAUAGGUACAGUAAUCUUAACAGCUAUCCAAUUUCAUUCAAAAUUCUUUAUAAAUUUUGCACUGGUAUAUAUAGACUAAGUAAUUUGUUUUUCGUCUAGUUAUGGGAUUUUUUUUUUAGAAGCACUUAUGAUUUUCAUGUUUGUAUUGACCACAUUGCAGCAACAUAGAUAUAGGUACCUGGCAAAUCUUGCCUUGUUAGCAUACUAGGCUCAAAGGGUCAUAAAAAAAUUUCCAUCACUAAGUGUCUGUUUAAAUCAUCUGUUUACAGUUUUCACUUUUAAACCAUCAUCUUAAUAACUUUAGAAGAAGUGUCAUACAUAUAUAUAUGUAUACAAAAUUUAAAAACUAUCAACAUGACAAGAUCUGAAUACCCAAAAUUUUUCUGAAAAAUUGGACAUAACAUCUAUGAGCUAUUGUCCCUGAAAUGUGUAAAUUUACAAAUUUUCACAGUUUUCUGCUACUAUCCGACAACUAUAUCAAUAUAUUAUAAGAAUAAAUUGCAAAAGUGGUCAGAAGAAACUUUUUUUUUACAGUCUGAACUUAUUCUGAAUUGUUUAACUUCUGAUUCAAAUUGAUUGCGUUUGAAAUAUGUGUUUUUUAUCGUUUUAGGUGCACAAUUUGUCAAUACGAUCUAUUUCAGCUCCUGGGAGCCUCUAGAUUUAUA
Mytilus californianus (California mussel) is the source of this 1672-nucleotide long non-coding RNA. RefSeq lists it as uncharacterized. The transcript is spliced from 3 exons. Lineage: Eukaryota; Metazoa; Mollusca; Bivalvia; Mytilida; Mytilidae. The record is from RefSeq and is a predicted model, not a curated record.